Long non-coding RNA from Arabidopsis thaliana (thale cress), 333 nucleotides. RefSeq annotates it as other RNA. The transcript has a single exon. The record is from RefSeq. Lineage: Eukaryota; Viridiplantae; Streptophyta; Magnoliopsida; Brassicales; Brassicaceae.
GACUUUGGGCUUUGGAAUUUGACAAUUUUACCCCUUUCAUCUGAGCUUCUCUUUCCUCCUUCAUCUUCGCAGCUUCUUCUCCACAAUCCAACUUUUCUGCAAAAAAAAAAUCUGUUAUCCCAAAAAUCUUUUAUAGUUGCAAUUCCCCAUUGAUUCAAGAUUACUAAACCCUAAAGAUGAUACUAUACAGGGAACCCAAGUAAAAAAAUCAAGCAGACUUUAUACGUUUUAGAUGUGUACAUAGUGAACUGGUUCCUCUCGAUUGCGUUUACAGAAACUAAUCCCUAAGAGAACUAGUAAAUAUGGAACCUAAGGGGAAAAUCAAAUGAAUUG